RNAcentral lists this ribosomal RNA (497 nucleotides) under uncultured bacterium. RNAcentral's name for it is "partial 16S ribosomal RNA". It matches the Rfam family "Bacterial small subunit ribosomal RNA", at positions 28 to 507 of the family's 1533-position model. The record is from RNAcentral.
GAUGAACGCUGGCGGCGUGCCUAAUACAUGCCAGUCGAGCGAACAGACGAGGAUCUUGCUCCUCUGACGUUAGCGGCGGACGGGUGAGUAACACGUGGAUAACCUACCUAUAAGACUGGGAUAACUUCGGGAAACCGGAGCUAAUACCGGAUAAUAUAUUGAACCGCAUGGUUCAAUAGUGAAAGACGGUUUUGCUGUCACUUAUAGAUGUAUCCGCGCCGCAUUAGCUAGUUGGUAAGGUAACGGCUUACCAAGGCAACGAUGCGUAGCCGACCUGAGAGGGUGAACGGCCACACUGGAACUGAGACACGGUCCAGACUCCUACGGGAGGCAGCAGUAGGGAAUCUUCCGAAAUGGGCGAAAGCCUGACGGAGCAACGCCGCGUGAGUGAUGAAGGUCUUCGGAUCGUAAAACUCUGUUAUUAGGGAAGAACAAAUGUGUAAGUAACUAUGCACGUCUUGACGGUACCUAAUCAGAAAGCCACGGCUAACUACGUG